CCUACGGGAGGCAGCAGUGAGGAAUAUUGGUCAAUGGACGAGAGUCUGAACCAGCCAAGUAGCGUGAAGGAUGACUGCCCUAUGGGUUGUAAACUUCUUUUAUAUGGGAAUAAAAUGUUCCACGUGUGGGAUUUUGUAUGUACCAUAUGAAUAAGGAUCGGCUAACUCCGUGCCAGCAGCCGCGGUAAUACGGAGGAUCCGAGCGUUAUCCGGAUUUAUUGGGUUUAAAGGGAGCGUAGGUGGAUUGUUAAGUAAGUUGUGAAAGUUUGCGGCUCAACCGUAAAAUUGCAGUUGAAACUGGCAGUCUUGAGUACAGUAGAGGUGGGCGGAAUUCGUGGUGUAGCGGUGAAAUGCUUAGAGAUCACGAAGAACUCCGAUUGCGAAGGCAGUUCACUGGACUGCAACUGACACUGAUGCUCGAAAGUGUGGGUAUCAAACAGGAUUAGAUACCCGGGUAGUC
Molecule: ribosomal RNA, 460 nt
Filed under: uncultured bacterium
Lineage: Bacteria
Description: partial 16S ribosomal RNA
Rfam family: Bacterial small subunit ribosomal RNA
Source: RNAcentral